This 254-nucleotide ribosomal RNA is filed under the name uncultured bacterium. Its description in RNAcentral is "partial 16S ribosomal RNA". It matches the Rfam family "Bacterial small subunit ribosomal RNA", at positions 524 to 776 of the family's 1533-position model. The record is from RNAcentral.
UACGUAGGGGGCUAGCGUUGUCCGGAUUUAUUGGGCGUAAAGAGCUCGUAGGCGGUUUGGUGAGUCGGGUGUGAAAUCUCCACGCUCAACGUGGAGGGGCCACCCGAUACUGCCAUGACUAGAGUCCGGUAGGGGAGUGUGGAAUUCCCGGUGUAGCGGUGAAAUGCGCAGAUAUCGGGAGGAACACCAGUGGCGAAGGCGGCUCACUGGCCCGAUACUGACGCUGAGGCACGAAAGCGUGGGGAGCAAACAGG